This 820-nucleotide long non-coding RNA is filed under the name Triticum aestivum (bread wheat). RNAcentral's name for it is "long non-coding RNA (TAES_LNC012199)". Lineage: Eukaryota; Viridiplantae; Streptophyta; Magnoliopsida; Poales; Poaceae. The record is from RNAcentral.
CACUCCCAUCAACGACUGGCUCAUUGACAUCGGAUCACUGAUGACCGGUGAGCCGUUGCUCAAAUCCAUCGGGUCGGACGAAGAAAAAGUGUGGUCAGUACGGUGGUCGUCUCUCUUUCAGCAGGAUUUUCUUAGCCCACUGUCUUGUCGAUGAAGAACCACUUCUUCAGCGUUUUCUUGUCACUGCAGGUGUGGAGGAAGUUCAUCAAAAGCAGAAUACCUGUGAACUGAGCAGAGAAGGUAGGAUAGCGUUAGGCAAAGGGCGUCUGCUCCAUGAGAAAAGAGAAGGUAAUUCGGGAUGAUUUGUAGUACCUUGUCAUGCUGAGAGAGAUGACACAUCUAUAUCACAAGACUGGAUUGGCACAUAGGAAAAGCCAUACAAAGCCAGCUCCGUUUAACUCCAAUGUUCAGAAUGAUGCAAAGGCCGGGGUUUCAACCUCCUUCUCGAAAAAACUCCGAUAUUCAGAAGGUGUCACUGCACGAAUUAACCAACAAGAGGAUCUUCUCAGUUACCCGGAAAGAUCAAAUAGCAGACUAGUUACUUCCACGACGUCGACAACCGCACAUGGAUCAAGUGUCAAGCCAUGUUAAAUCUGUGUCGUUAUCGUGAUAGAGGAAGAAAACAACAUCCAGAAAAAGCAGAAGGGAAAGGGAAAAUGUCAAAGUAAAAACUUGCAGAUUGCUGGGUUGGCCUUAACUAUGGUUAAGGUACGGUAAACUAAUUGCCAAAAGAAAUAUGAUACUUAACCUUGUACUAUUAACAUUUUCUGAAAGAAUAUAAACAUCUGCAAUGAUAUGCCGGCCCAAUCACGGAUGUCUG